Acanthosepion pharaonis is the source of this 98-nucleotide non-coding RNA. Lineage: Eukaryota; Metazoa; Mollusca; Cephalopoda; Sepiida; Sepiidae. The record is from the annotation of a GenBank genome assembly.
GAUUGAAACACCUGUUACUGUACGAUCACCGAAGUUAAGCAACGUCAAGCAUGGUCACUACCUAGAUGGGUGACCACUUGGGAAUACCGGGUGCUAUA